RNAcentral lists this ribosomal RNA (564 nucleotides) under uncultured Glomeromycotina. Its description in RNAcentral is "SSU rRNA". It matches the Rfam family "Eukaryotic small subunit ribosomal RNA", at positions 549 to 1114 of the family's 1831-position model. The record is from RNAcentral. Lineage: Eukaryota; Fungi; Glomeromycota.
UGGAGGGCAAGUCUGGUGCCAGCAGCCGCGGUAAUUCCAGCUCCAAUAGCGUAUAUUAAAGUUGUUGCAGUUAAAAAGCUCGUAGUUGAAUUUCGGGGUCAGUAGGCUGGUCGUGCCACGGGUAUGUACUGGUCUCACUGAUUCCUCCUUCCUGAUGAACCGUAAUGCCAUUAAUUUGGUGUUGCGGGGAAACUGGACUGUUACUUUGAAAAAAUUAGAGUGUUUAAAGCAGGCUAACGCUUGAAUACAUUAGCAUGGAAUAAUGAAAUAGGACGUUCGAUCCUAUUUUGUUGGUUUCUAGGAUUGACGUAAUGAUUAAUAGGGAUAGUUGGGGGCAUUAGUAUUCAAUUGUCAGAGGUGAAAUUCUUGGAUUUAUUGAAGACUAACUACUGCGAAAGCAUUUGCCAAGGAUGUUUUCAUUAAUCAAGAACGAAAGUUAGGGGAUCGAAGACGAUCAGAUACCGUCGUAGUCUUAACCAUAAACUAUGCCGACUAGGGAUCGGAUGAUGUUAAUUUUUUAAUGACUCAUUCGGCGCCUUACGGGAAACCAAAGUGUUUGGGUUC